Molecule: long non-coding RNA, 495 nt
Organism: Gracilinanus agilis (Agile Gracile Mouse Opossum)
Lineage: Eukaryota; Metazoa; Chordata; Mammalia; Didelphimorphia; Didelphidae
Exons: 5
Source: RefSeq, a predicted model, not a curated record
AUUGAUGACAUUGUAGGAGACAGUUGUAUGAGAGUGGAUCGGGGGAGACAGAGAGACAGAGAGGGAGAAGGGAGGAAGAGGAAAAAAGAUAAAGAGGAAGAAGAGGGAAUGAGAAACAGAGAGAAUCAAAUUGGACUCAGUAAAUUCAAGUCACUAGGUCUCCCUGAGUUCUCAUCACAGGGUAAUAAAUAAAAGAAAAGAAAGAUGGAAGAGCCAGCCAUGGAUGGAUCAGAAAGACAGGUUACUUUAAGAACAGGCUAAGGUGCUACCACUGAGGGAUGAAUCACUGAAGCAUAUUGGGUUAUGAAAGAAUGGGAAGAUAGAAGAGCCAAGUCAUUGCCAGGAAGGGAUGGAUCAGUGAAAGACCUUGGACUGGAGAAAACAGAUUCAAUGAGUUCUAGAAGGUACAGACUCCAAAAGGAAGGGUAAAUGAAAGAAUAGGAAGAUGGAAGAGCCAAGUCAUUGCCAGCAGGGAUGGAUCAGUGAAAGACCUUG